Molecule: ribosomal RNA, 482 nt
Filed under: uncultured bacterium
Lineage: Bacteria
Description: partial 16S ribosomal RNA
Rfam family: Bacterial small subunit ribosomal RNA
Source: RNAcentral
AUUGAACGCUGGCGGCAUGCUUUACACAUGCAAGUCGAACGGUAACAGGCCGCAAGGUGCUGACGAGUGGCGAACGGGUGAGUAAUGCAUCGGAACGUGCCCAGUCGUGGGGGAUAACUACUCGAAAGAGUAGCUAAUACCGCAUACGAUCUAUGGAUGAAAGCGGGGGACCGUAAGGCCUCGCGCGAUUGGAGCGGCCGAUGUCAGAUUAGGUAGUUGGGGGGGUAAAGGCUCACCAAGACAACGAUCUGUAGCUGGUCUGAGAGGACGACCAGCCACACUGGGACUGAGACACGGCCCAGACUCCUACGGGAGGCAGCAGUGGGGAAUUUUGGACAAUGGGCGCAAGCCUGAUCCAGCAAUGCCGCGUGCAGGAAGAAGGCCUUCGGGUUGUAAACUGCUUUUGUACGGAACGAAACGGCUCUGGUUAAUACCCGGGGCUAAUGACGGUACCGUAAGAAUAAGCACCGGCUAACUACGUG